Molecule: ribosomal RNA, 346 nt
Filed under: uncultured bacterium
Lineage: Bacteria
Description: partial 16S ribosomal RNA
Rfam family: Bacterial small subunit ribosomal RNA
Source: RNAcentral
CCUACGGGAGGCAGCAGUGAGGAAUAUUGGUCAAUGGGCGCGAGCCUGAACCAGCCAAGUAGCGUGAAGGAUGACUGCCCUACGGGUUGUAAACUUCUUUUAUAAAGGAAUAAAGUGAGGCACGUGUGCCGUUUUGUAGGUACUGUAUGAAUAAGGAUCGGCUAACUCCGUGCCAGCAGCCGCGGUAAUACGGAGGAGCCGAGCGUUAUCCGGAUUUAUUGGGUUUAAAGGGAGCGUAGAUGGGUUGUUAAGUCAGUUGUGAAAGUUUGCGGCUCAACCGUCAAAUUGCAGUUGAAACUGGCAGUCUUGAGUACCGUAGAGGUGUGCGGAAUUCGUGUUGUAGCGG